This 248-nucleotide ribosomal RNA is filed under the name Escherichia coli. RNAcentral describes it as "partial 16S ribosomal RNA". It matches the Rfam family "Bacterial small subunit ribosomal RNA", at positions 1286 to 1533 of the family's 1533-position model. Lineage: Bacteria; Pseudomonadati; Pseudomonadota; Gammaproteobacteria; Enterobacterales; Enterobacteriaceae. The record is from RNAcentral. RNAcentral also lists the same sequence under 6 other names.
UCGUAGUCCGGAUUGGAGUCUGCAACUCGACUCCAUGAAGUCGGAAUCGCUAGUAAUCGUGGAUCAGAAUGCCACGGUGAAUACGUUCCCGGGCCUUGUACACACCGCCCGUCACACCAUGGGAGUGGGUUGCAAAAGAAGUAGGUAGCUUAACCUUCGGGAGGGCGCUUACCACUUUGUGAUUCAUGACUGGGGUGAAGUCGUAACAAGGUAACCGUAGGGGAACCUGCGGUUGGAUCACCUCCUUA